RNAcentral lists this ribosomal RNA (471 nucleotides) under uncultured Bacteroidales bacterium. RNAcentral describes it as "bacterial SSU rRNA". It matches the Rfam family "Bacterial small subunit ribosomal RNA", at positions 273 to 741 of the family's 1533-position model. The record is from RNAcentral. Lineage: Bacteria; Pseudomonadati; Bacteroidota; Bacteroidia; Bacteroidales.
GCAACGAUACAUGGGGGGACUGAGAGGUUAACCCCCCACACUGGUACUGAGACACGGACCAGACUCCUACGGGAGGCAGCAGUGAGGAAUAUUGGUCAAUGGACGCAAGUCUGAACCAGCCAUGCCGCGUGCAGGAAGACGGCUCUAUGAGUUGUAAACUGCUUUUGUACGAGGGUAAACUCACCUACGUGUAGGUGACUGAAAGUAUCGUACGAAUAAGGAUCGGCUAACUCCGUGCCAGCAGCCGCGGUAAUACGGAGGAUUCAAGCGUUAUCCGGAUUUAUUGGGUUUAAAGGGUGCGUAGGCGGUUUGAUAAGUUAGAGGUGAAAUCCCGGGGCUUAACUCCGGAACUGCCUCUAAUACUGUUAGACUAGAGAGUAGUUGCGGUAGGCGGAAUGUAUGGUGUAGCGGUGAAAUGCUUAGAGAUCAUACAGAACACCGAUUGCGAAGGCAGCUUACCAAACUAUAUCU